GCCAGCAUGGCAUAGUGGUUUGAGCGCUGGACUGUGACUGGAGAUCAGGGUUCAAAUCCCCUCUUGGCC
Molecule: non-coding RNA, 69 nt
Organism: Phrynosoma platyrhinos (Desert horned lizard)
Lineage: Eukaryota; Metazoa; Chordata; Lepidosauria; Squamata; Phrynosomatidae
Source: the annotation of a GenBank genome assembly